RNAcentral lists this transfer RNA (72 nucleotides) under Loxodonta africana (African savanna elephant). It matches the Rfam family "tRNA". From Rfam's summary of the family: Transfer RNA (tRNA) molecules are approximately 80 nucleotides in length. Their secondary structure includes four short double-helical elements and three loops (D, anti-codon, and T loops). Lineage: Eukaryota; Metazoa; Chordata; Mammalia; Proboscidea; Elephantidae. The record is from Rfam by way of RNAcentral.
UCCCUGGUGGCACAAUGGUUAAGUACUUGGCUCCUAACCAAAAGGUUGGUGGUUCAAACCCACCCAAUGGCU